Molecule: ribosomal RNA, 828 nt
Filed under: Hypsiboas sp. WCF-2012
Lineage: Eukaryota; Metazoa; Chordata; Amphibia; Anura; Hylidae
Description: partial 16S ribosomal RNA
Rfam family: Bacterial large subunit ribosomal RNA
Source: RNAcentral
AAUUUCAACAACAACCUUAAUCCCUUUAUUACAAUCGAGUAAUUCUAUAAAACUAUAGAAUAUAUAAUGUUAAAACUAGUAACAAGAAGACAACCCUUCUCUAUAAUGCAAGUGUAAGCCAGAAAGGAUAAACCACUGUCAAUUAACACAAAUGAUAUUCAAUUAGCAACACGCCAAGAAAACCCUACUUCACUUAGUGUUAACCUAACACAAGAGCAUUUCAAGAAAGAUUAAAAGAAAAAGAAGGAAUUCGGCAAAUAAUAACCCCGCCUGUUUACCAAAAACAUCGCCUCUUGAUAAAAUAUAAGAGGUCCAGCCUGCCCAGUGACCUAGUUCAACGGCCGCGGUAUCCUAACCGUGCGAAGGUAGCGUAAUCACUUGUUCUUUAAAUGGGGACUAGUAUGAAUGGCAUCACGAGGGUUAAACUGUCUCCUUUCUCUAAUCAGUGAAACUAAUCUCCCCGUGAAGAAGCGGGGAUUAUAAUAUAAGACGAGAAGACCCUAUGGAGCUUAAAACAAACUAACAUUUGCUUACACCUACUUUAAUUCCCGAAUAAACACACAAAAUAUAGCAUUAUUGAUUAGUAGUUUUAGAUUGGGGUGAUCAUGGAGCAAAAAACAACCUCCACGACGAAAAGGAAUAUCCCCUGAGCCAAAAGCCACAACUUUAAGCACUAAAAAAUUAACGCAUCUUGACCCAAUUUUUUGAGCAACGAACCAAGUUACCCUAGGGAUAACAGCGCAAUCCACUUCAAGAGCCCCUAUCGACAAGUGGGCUUACGACCUCGAUGUUGGAUCAGGGUAUCCCAGUGGUGCAGCCGCUACUAAA